RNAcentral lists this ribosomal RNA (899 nucleotides) under Byssosphaeria siamensis. Its description in RNAcentral is "partial large subunit ribosomal RNA". It matches the Rfam family "Eukaryotic large subunit ribosomal RNA", at positions 34 to 961 of the family's 3401-position model. Lineage: Eukaryota; Fungi; Ascomycota; Dothideomycetes; Pleosporales; Melanommataceae. The record is from RNAcentral.
UUAAUACAAUAACGGAGGAAAAGAAACCACCAGGGAUUGCCCCAGUAACGGCGAGUGAAGCGGCAAUAGCUCAAAUUUGAAAUCUGGCUCCUUUGGGGCCCGAGUUGUAAUUUGGAGAGGGUGCUUUGGUGUUGGCAGCAGCCUAAGUUCCUUGGAACAGGUCAUCAUAGAGGGUGAGAAUCCCGUAUGUGGCUGAUUGUCUUCACCGUGUAAAGCCCCUUCGACGAGUCGAGUUGUUUGGGAAUGCAGCUCUAAAUGGGAGGUAAAUUUCUUCUAAAGCUAAAUACUGGCCAGAGACCGAUAGCGCACAAGUAGAGUGAUCGAAAGAUGAAAAGCACUUUGGAAAGAGAGUCAAAAAGCACGUGAAAUUGUUGAAAGGGAAGCGCUUGCAGCCAGACGUGCCUGUAGUUGCUCAUCUGGGGAUUUCCCCAGUGCACUCUUCUAUGGGCAGGCCAGCAUCAGUCCGGGCGGUUGGAGAAAGGCCUGUGUCACGUAGCUGCUUUCGGGCAGUGUUAUAGGGCAGGUGGAAUACGACCAGCCUGGACUGAGGUCCGCGCAUCUGCUAGGAUGCUGGCGUAAUGGCUGUAAGCGGCCCGUCUUGAAACACGGACCAAGGAGUCUAACAUCUAUGCGAGUGUUUGGGUGUCAAGCCCGAGCGCGCAAUGAAAGUGAACGGAGGUGGGAACCCUUGGGUGCACCAUCGACCGAUCCUGAUGUCUUCGGAUGGAUUUGAGUAAGAGCAUAGCUGUUGGGACCCGAAAGAUGGUGAACUAUGCCUGAAUAGGGUGAAGCCAGAGGAAACUCUGGUGGAGGCUCGCAGCGGUUCUGACGUGCAAAUCGAUCGUCAAAUUUGGGCAUAGGGGCGAAAGACUAAUCGAACUAUCUAUAGUGUCGCCCAC